AUUGAACGCUGGCGGCAGGCCUAACACAUGCAAGUCGAGCGGUAGAGAGGUGCUUGCAUCUCUUGAGAGCGGCGGACGGGUGAGUAAUGCCUAGGAAUCUGCCUAGUGGUGGGGGAUAACGUUCGGAAACGGACGCUAAUACCGCAUACGUCCUACGGGAGAAAGCGGGGGAUCUUCGGACCUCGCGCCAUUAGAUGAGCCUAGGUCGGAUUAGCUAGUUGGUGAGGUAAUGGCUCACCAAGGCGACGAUCCGUAACUGGUCUGAGAGGAUGAUCAGUCACACUGGAACUGAGACACGGUCCAGACUCCUACGGGAGGCAGCAGUGGGGAAUAUUGGACAAUGGGCGAAAGCCUGAUCCAGCCAUGCCGCGUGUGUGAAGAAGGUCUUCGGAUUGUAAAGCACUUUAAGUUGGGAGGAAGGGUAGGUAACCUAAUACGUUGCUAC
This 445-nucleotide ribosomal RNA is filed under the name uncultured bacterium. Its description in RNAcentral is "bacterial SSU rRNA". It matches the Rfam family "Bacterial small subunit ribosomal RNA", at positions 30 to 478 of the family's 1533-position model. The record is from RNAcentral.